GGUGAUGCGGUAGAGGAGCGUUCUGUAAGCCUGUGAAGGUGAGUUGAGAAGCUUGCUGGAGGUAUCAGAAGUGCGAAUGCUGACAUGAGUAACGACAAUGGGUGUGAAAAACACCCACGCCGAAAGACCAAGGUUUCCUGCGCAACGUUAAUCGACGCAGGGUUAGUCGGUCCCUAAGGCGAGGCUGAAAAGCGUAGUCGAUGGAAAACAGGUUAAUAUUCCUGUACUUCUGGUUAUUGCGAUGGAGGGACGGAGAAGGCUAGGCCAGCUUGGCGUUGGUUGUCCAAGUUUAAGGUGGUAGGCUGGAAUCUUAGGUAAAUCCGGGAUUCUAAGGCCGAGAGCUGAUGACGAGUGUUCUUUUAGAACACGAAGUGGUUGAUGCCAUGCUUCCAAGAAAAGCUUCUAAGCUUCAGGUAACCAGGAACCGUACCCCAAACCGACACAGGUGGUUGGGUAGAGAAUACCAAGGCGCUUGAGAGAACUCGGGUGAAGGAACUAGGCAAAAUGGCACCGUAACUUCGGGAGAAGGUGCGCCGGUGAGGGUGAAGGACUUGCUCCGUAAGCUCAUGCCGGUCGAAGAUACCAGGCCGCUGCGACUGUUUAUUAAAAACACAGCACUCUGCAAACACGAAAGUGGACGUAUAGGGUGUGACGCCUGCCCGGUGCCGGAAGGUUAAUUGAUGGGGUUAGCUAACGCGAAGCUCUUGAUCGAAGCCCCGGUAAACGGCGGCCGUAACUAUAACGGUCCUAAGGUAGCGAAAUUCCUUGUCGGGUAAGUUCCGACCUGCACGAAUGGCGUAACGAUGGCGGCGCUGUCUCCACCCGAGACUCAGUGAAAUUGAAAUCGCUGUGAAGAUGCAGUGUAUCCGCGGCUAGACGGAAAGACCCCGUGAACCUUUACUAUAGCUUUGCACUGGACUUUGAAUUUGCUUGUGUAGGAUAGGUGGGAGGCUUUGAAGCGUGGACGCCAGUUCGCGUGGAGCCAUCCUUGAAAUACCACCCUGGCAACUUUGAGGUUCUAACUCAGGUCCGUUAUCCGGAUCGAGGACAGUGUAUGGUGGGUAGUUUGACUGGGGCGGUCUCCUCCUAAAGAGUAACGGAGGAGUACGAAGGUGCGCUCAGACCGGUCGGAAAUCGGUCGUAGAGUAUAAAGGCAAAAGCGCGCUUGACUGCGAGACAGACACGUCGAGCAGGUACGAAAGUAGGUCUUAGUGAUCCGGUGGUUCUGUAUGGAAGGGCCAUCGCUCAACGGAUAAAAGGUACUCCGGGGAUAACAGGCUGAUACCGCCCAAGAGUUCAUAUCGACGGCGGUGUUUGGCACCUCGAUGUCGGCUCAUCACAUCCUGGGGCUGAAGCCGGUCCCAAGGGUAUGGCUGUUCGCCAUUUAAAGUGGUACGCGAGCUGGGUUUAGAACGUCGUGAGACAGUUCGGUCCCUAUCUGCCGUGGACGUUUGAGAUUUGAGAGGGGCUGCUCCUAGUACGAGAGGACCGGAGUGGACGAACCUCUGGUGUUCCGGUUGUCACGCCAGUGGCAUUGCCGGGUAGCUAUGUUCGGGAAAGAUAACCGCUGAAAGCAUCUAAGCGGGAAACUUGCCUCAAGAUGAGAUCUCACUGGAACCUUGAGUUCCCUGAAGGGCCGUCGAAGACUACGACGUUGAUAGGUUGGGUGUGUAAGCGCUGUGAGGCGUUGAGCUAACCAAUACUAAUUGCCCGUGAGGCUUGACCAUAUAACACCCAAGCAAUUUGCUGACCUGAAAAGGCACCAGAUUGCGGUGUGUGAAGACGAAACGAACCGAAAGUUCGA
Molecule: ribosomal RNA, 1804 nt
Filed under: Pseudomonas helmanticensis
Lineage: Bacteria; Pseudomonadati; Pseudomonadota; Gammaproteobacteria; Pseudomonadales; Pseudomonadaceae
Description: partial 23S ribosomal RNA
Rfam family: Bacterial large subunit ribosomal RNA
Source: RNAcentral